This 345-nucleotide unclassified non-coding RNA is filed under the name soil metagenome. RNAcentral's name for it is "partial contains 5.8S ribosomal RNA, internal transcribed spacer 2, and large subunit ribosomal RNA". The stretch from base 1 to 119 matches the Rfam family "5.8S ribosomal RNA", at positions 35 to 154 of the family's 154-position model. The record is from RNAcentral.
GAUGAAGAACGUAGCGAAAUGCGAUACGUAAUGUGAAUUGCAAAUUCAGUGAAUCAUCGAGUCUUUGAACGCACAUUGCGCCCCCUGGUAUUCCGGGGGGCAUGCCUGUCCGAGCGUCAUUGCUGCCCUCAAGCACGGCUUGUGUGUUGGGCCCCGUCCUCCGAUCCCGGGGGACGGGCCCGAAAGGCAGCGGCGGCGCCGCGUCCGGUCCUCGAGCGUAUGGGGCUUUGUCACCCGCUCUGUAGGCCCGGCCGGCGCUUGCCGAUCAACCCAAAUUUUUAUCCAGGUUGACCUCGGAUCAGGUAGGGAUACCCGCUGAACUUAAGCAUAUCAAUAAGCGGAGGA